Molecule: long non-coding RNA, 1375 nt
Organism: Gallus gallus (chicken)
Lineage: Eukaryota; Metazoa; Chordata; Aves; Galliformes; Phasianidae
Exons: 3
Source: RefSeq, a predicted model, not a curated record
ACUGUGCAUUACCAGCAGCUGUGGUCAGCACCGGGGCAGAUGUUAGAGGGCUCAAUGGAGCCUUAGGAGCAAAUGUCUCCAGUAGGGUCCCUGCACUCCCAGCACUGAUGGGACUGGAAGCCCUGGCACUCUGCUUUUGUCUCGGCUCCUUUUUGGUGGAUGAGAUCAGGCUUCGUCCCUGCCCCACAACUUCUUGGUGGUUUCACAUGGUAUUUGUAUGUAUGGAAUGUGCUUAUUACAGCCACUGCUACCUUCUGCCAUCCUAUCUCAACUCUGUUUGCAGCCGGGCCAUUGAAGUGUGCACCACUCCACUGAAGUCUCCUUGCUGCCCGGUGGUGUGAUGGGCUGUGGGAUCACUUCUACCCUGGGCAGAGCUGGAUUCACAUCUCUCUUCCCAUUCCAAGGAGUUCAUGGGCUGGCUAUGUGGUGUUACAGAGCUAUCCAUAAGGAUACCACCACCAUGUACAUAUAUAUCACAGCCUACUGCAUGUUGCAGCACUGUGGGUGGGACUGACGGACAAAGGAAGGAGAGAUGGGGAUGGAGAUAAAGGGGCAGUGCUGGAGCAACAUAACCAACAGUUUCCUUGGAGCCCAAGCAGCUUUGGCACUAACAUCUUUUGAACUAGGUUCUGCAUGUGGAUUUUACCCUGAGAAGCCCUAUUCUGCUGCAGAUCGGUGGGCUGCCAUGAAUGGCACAGUGACAUUACUAUUUUUCUGUUAAUUGAUUAAGUGGCUAACAGAGAUGCAGGCAUGAAGGCUUGCACCAGCAGCAGGCUGCCAAGCCACAGAACCAGCAGUGAUGUUUGGUAAAUUGAUCUGAGCCCAUAGGUAACACAGAGAAAAUAGAGUUUGUAGAGAUGUCUGCAGCUACAACAGCCAUCAAAGAACAGGCCACACAAGUCUCUGAAAGGUAUAUGAAGUAAAUCUGGUACAUUUGAUAAUAGAAAAGGCCUGAACCCAUCUGCCAUACUAUUUCUAAGGUGCUGCUUCCGAGCAAUCUCCAUGCCAUGUUGGAGAAGAAUAUCCACACCGCACUGUGAUGGGUCCCCUGUGCUGACAUGUGCCUCUGUGCUAAACCAAUGUGUUAGAAUCAUGCAUCAAGAUGUUUAAUGGUGACCACUGGAUCACAGCAAAUGUUGUAUGUGCCCCUACCUUAUCCCUUCACUGAGUUUGGACAUGAGAGUUUUUCGCUGUUUGCUGACAGGUAUAUGCGUGCACAAACAAGUCGAGACAAAUCCUUUUGGAUCAUCCCAGCCUUGUGCCCUGGUGCUGAGUUUCUGAUCCCAUAGCAAAAAGAUGGGUUGGGUGAUGUAUCUGUUCAGUAUUCAGUGUUUUUUCCUUCAUCAGCUGUAGAAGAUGGUUUUAUUUUUGCUGG